UGACAGUUAAUGAAGCCAAUUCAAUGUUUCUUACAUCAAUCUAAAAUCUAUGGCUUCCGCCCAUUAAUUCCAAUUCUAUUCCAUGAAGCCAUUCAGAAAAAGACUAAUGCCUCUUCCACAAAUAUUUGAACACAGCUCUCACAUCCUCCACAUUAUGGCAUCACUAGGCUGAAUACCCCUAGUUUCUUCAACUGUGGUGCUUAUGACAGUGGUGGUGCUAAAUAAACAUUUGCAGAAUGAAUGAA
RNAcentral lists this small RNA (245 nucleotides) under Microcebus murinus (gray mouse lemur). Its description in RNAcentral is "MEST intronic transcript 1, antisense RNA conserved region 2 (ENSMICG00000036386.2)". Lineage: Eukaryota; Metazoa; Chordata; Mammalia; Primates; Cheirogaleidae. The record is from RNAcentral.